Molecule: ribosomal RNA, 599 nt
Filed under: Halomonas elongata
Lineage: Bacteria; Pseudomonadati; Pseudomonadota; Gammaproteobacteria; Oceanospirillales; Halomonadaceae
Description: bacterial SSU rRNA
Rfam family: Bacterial small subunit ribosomal RNA
Source: RNAcentral
CUUGCUAGGAGGCGUCGAGCGGCGGACGGGUGAGUAAUGCAUAGGAAUCUGCCCGGUAGUGGGGGAUAACUUGAGGAAACUCAAGCUAAUACCGCAUACGCCCUACGGGGGAAAGCAGGGGCUCUUCGGACCUUGCGCUAUCGGAUGAGCUUAUGUCGGAUUAGCUGGUUGGUGAGGUAACGGCUCACCAAGGCGACGAUCCGUAGCUGGUCUGAGAGGAUGAUCAGCCACAUCGGGACUGAGACACGGCCCGAACUCCUACGGGAGGCAGCAGUGGGGAAUAUUGGACAAUGGGGGCAACCCUGAUCCAGCCAUGCCGCGUGUGUGAAGAAGGCCCUCGGGUUGUAAAGCACUUUCAGCGAGGAAGAAUGCUUGUCGGUUAAUACCCGGCAAGGGAGACAUCACUCGCAGAAGAAGCACCGGCUAACUCCGUGCCAGCAGCCGCGGUAAUACGGAGGGUGCGAGCGUUAAUCGGAAUUACUGGGCGUAAAGCGUGCGUAGGCGGCUUGAUAAGCCGGUUGUGAAAGCCCCGGGCUCAACCUGGGAACGGCAUCCGGAACUGUUAGGCUAGAGUGCAGGAGAGGAAGGUAGAAUUCCCG